UUCAUAUGAAAUGUAGUUGAACCUUGAGACGAUAAAUUUUCGUCUUCGCUAUCGUCAUCAGAAUCACUGUCUUCUUGUCUUCGAAGUUCUUCAUUCAAAUUUUUAUAUUCGGCCUUUACAAAAAUCAAAUAGGAAACAAUUAAGAAAAAAUAAAUAUAUUAUGAAAUAUUAAUAAAUGAUCACUCACCAUCAUAGUUUUUCCUCUAUCAUUUAACGGCGUAUGAGUUGACAAGAAUGUCUCUUGAAAUGACGGUUUUCGACCUAAUUUGAGACUCUAUACGAAAAAAACUAGUCAAAAUAAUUCAUAAAAUAUUUAAAUUGAAAUGAAUUUAAAAUAUAAACUUACUAAUGCAUGAGAGUUGGCUUCAAAAGAAGCCGAUCCACCCUUGUACACCAAAUAAUCGUCGUUUUUAGUUCGAUUUGCUGAAUUCUUUUUUGAUUUUUCUACGAACUCUGGUGUCAAAAACUUGUCC
RNAcentral lists this long non-coding RNA (473 nucleotides) under Zostera marina. Its description in RNAcentral is "long non-coding RNA (ZMAR_LNC005340)". Lineage: Eukaryota; Viridiplantae; Streptophyta; Magnoliopsida; Alismatales; Zosteraceae. The record is from RNAcentral.